GAUGAAGAACGUAGCGAAAUGCGAUAAGUAAUGUGAAUUGCAGAAUUCAGUGAAUCAUCGAAUCUUUGAACGCACAUUGCGCCCUUUGGUAUUCCGAAGGGCAUGCCUGUUCGAGCGUCAUUAUAACCACUCAAGCUCUCGCUUGGUAUUGGGGUUCGCGGUCUCGCGGCCCCUAAAAUCAGUGGCGGUGCCUGUCGGCUCUACGCGUAGUAAUACUCCUCGCGAUUGAGUCCGGUAGGUGACUUGCCAGCAACCCCCAAAUUUUUCAGGUUGACCUCGGAUCAGGUAGGGAUACCCGCUGAACUUAAGCAUAUCAAUAAGCGGAGG
Molecule: unclassified non-coding RNA, 327 nt
Filed under: soil metagenome
Description: partial contains 5.8S ribosomal RNA, internal transcribed spacer 2, and large subunit ribosomal RNA
Rfam family: 5.8S ribosomal RNA (bases 1-120)
Source: RNAcentral